UACGUAGGGUGCGAGCGUUGCCCGGAUUUAUUGGGCGUAAAGGGCGCGUAGGCGGCAUGACAAGUCACUUGUGAAAUCUCCGGGCUUAACUCGGAACGGUCAAGUGAUACUGUCGCGCUAGAGUGCGGAAGGGGCAAUCAGAAUUCUUGGUGUAGCGGUGAAAUGCGUAGAUAUCGUAAGGAAGACCAGUGGCGAAGGCGGGUCUCUGGACAGUUCCUGACGCUGAGGCACGAAGGCCAGGGGAGCAAACGGG
Molecule: ribosomal RNA, 253 nt
Filed under: uncultured bacterium
Lineage: Bacteria
Description: partial 16S ribosomal RNA
Rfam family: Bacterial small subunit ribosomal RNA
Source: RNAcentral